UACAGAGGGUGCAAGCGUUAAUCGGAAUUACUGGGCGUAAAGCGCUCGUAGGCGGUUACCUAAGUCGAUUGUGAAAGCCCUGGGCUUAACCUGGGAACUGCAGUCGAUACUGGGUGACUAGAGUAUGAUAGAGGAUAGUGGAAUUCCCGGUGUAGCAGUGAAAUGCGUAGAUAUCGGGAGGAACACCAGUGGCGAAGGCGACUUUCUGGAUCAAUACUGACGCUGAGGAGCGAAAGCGUGGGGAGCAAACAGG
RNAcentral lists this ribosomal RNA (253 nucleotides) under uncultured bacterium. Its description in RNAcentral is "partial 16S ribosomal RNA". It matches the Rfam family "Bacterial small subunit ribosomal RNA", at positions 524 to 776 of the family's 1533-position model. The record is from RNAcentral.